CUCUGAGUAGGAAAGUCUUAAUGGAGAGGAAUAUGAUCAUGCAAGAGAAGUAGGUCCCUGCAGCUGAGUGGCAAGUCUGGAGCCUAGGACAGCAGAUCCCUGGAAGAGGGUUAUGGCUCAUGGAUUCUAGCAACUGUUAUGUCUACUAUCUGUAAUCAUCUAACCCUGUCUCUGCACCUGGAAGUAAAAGAAUUCAGCAUUAUGUGA
Molecule: long non-coding RNA, 207 nt
Filed under: Canis lupus familiaris (dog)
Lineage: Eukaryota; Metazoa; Chordata; Mammalia; Carnivora; Canidae
Description: lncRNA (ENSCAFG00030021909.1)
Source: RNAcentral